AGGUGAUUGAAUGUUACAUUAGAGCCAUACUCAUCUCUGAGGACACUGCUGUCCGACUGUACCACAUGGAUCACUACAUCAUGGGUGUUAUUUUAAACGGCACCAGAGAGCAGAUGGCCAGGCAAUUGUUAAAAAAGAGAGGAGAGCAGACAGAUGGCUGACAUGAUGCUCUACUGGUUUAGAUUCCUACUCUGGCUUUGGUUCGCGUGGCUGGCAGGAUCAUUGGAGCUGAAUGGUACUGUAGGUGGGAACAUCACAACACCCCAUAGUGGGAAAGGCUUUGUAACUCUUAAACACAAUGAAGAAACUGUGAUGUUUGUGCAGAAUAAUGUCAGUGAGUCAUACUCAAAAAAAAACAACAAGUAUCUGUGGUCCAACACCACUGGAUGGUUCACUAUAAAUGAUCUGGAGAAAACUGAUGCAGGGAACCUGAGUAUCACCUUCAGCGAUGGGACUGUAACGUACAAGCUGACUGUCUACGACUCUGUAGGGCCUCCUGCUGUCCAAACACUGAGUGUGAGCUCUGACAGCUGCUAUCUGCUGUGUGCUGUGGACAAAGCUGCAGAGAUCACACUGUGGUGGUACAAAGAUGAGGAGGUGGUGAACCAGAGCAGCUCUGCUGGAUCUCUGGCUCUCACUGUGACCAAACAGGACCUCAACUCUUCAUAUGCAUGUGUGGCUGGAAACCCUGCAGAGAAUGAGACUUUUACAGUGCAUCUUCCGAAGGUCUGUGGAGAGAACUUCACCAACAGCAGCUCAGAGAACAACCAUAGUCAUGUUUGGAUCAUAAUUGGAGUCUCUGCUGCACUUGCAUUCGCUGCCUUUUCAAUCUGGAAGUGUUUCAGGAAAAACACACCAACCACAGACAGAAGAGGUUCAGCGGAGAAGAACUCAGUAGUGUAGUAUGUUAAAGGAAAUGCUUUUCCUGACAGCCAGAAUCAGGGAGAAGGUGAAGGACAAAAUGCUGAUGGCUACCAUGUGACGGUGGUUAGAAGCAUGAAGAAUCACUAGGGUGCUGCCUGAUAGAGACACCGAAGAUAUCCCACUUUAAAUGAAGCAGUGUUUUCUUACAUGAAGAAAUAACGAAAAAAACAAAGAUGAAGCUUCUGCCUCAUUAUUGGAAACACAAUUCAAAGUUCAUAUGAGAUGAAGUUCAUGAGUGCAUCAAGUUUGGAAACUACCAGAGACGAAGUGCAAUAAACUUACAAAAAUAGGCUCGGUUUUCUAAAAUAUUAAGGCAAAGUAUUGUGGCAUUAUGGCAUGGAUGCAUCAAAUGAGCUGAUGUUUAACAGCUGAUUAAGUCCAAACAGGGUUUUAAUUUUCUCCUUAUCAGACUAAUGUUCCAUAUUCUUUUAGUUUCACUGUGGUUCAUUCUUUCUGAUUUACCAACAAAUAUAUUGUAGGAGCUUCAGUAACAAUCAACUGGACUUCUCUUAUCAGUUCUUGAAGACAUUUCCCCUUCAUCCAAGGUUCUUCUUCAGUUCCAACUGACUAAUGGUGAGUUACAGAGUUUGUAGUUCCUCCAGCUCACAUGGCUAAUGACCCGUUAACAACCAGGACAUCGGUCUCCAGGUAUGGAUGUUGUGAAACCAGGCGAUCCACCGACUAUGACAGCGAUCAUGGUGGUGGAGCUUCCAGUUUUAUACAGCAAAGGAUGUGAAUCUGUCAAGUCAGGAGAGACUCAAGAUGUUAACGAUGGAGAAACUUUCUGGAAAGAGAUCUAAUCACAGCAUUAUAGGUGUUUGAUAAGUGGUGUCACAAACCCCCUCCUCUGUUUAGAGAUGACUGUUCCAGUUUGACAUAGAGGGCUUCCUUCACUCCUCUCAAACCAUCUGUCCUCUCUGUCCAUAAUGUAGACAUUGCUGUCCUCAAAGGAAUGUCCUUUAUCCUUUAGAUGCAGGUGGACUGCUGAGUCUUGUCUGUUCUAUGUUGAGACGUGAAGCUGUCGUUUAGUCAACACUAAUUAAAGGGGAAACACCUAAAAAAAAAAAAAAAAAAAAACACCACACGAGAAGUCCAG
Molecule: long non-coding RNA, 2020 nt
Organism: Amphiprion ocellaris (clown anemonefish)
Lineage: Eukaryota; Metazoa; Chordata; Actinopteri; Pomacentridae
Source: Ensembl